GUAGAUGGCGGGCUGCACAAGCAAAUGAACUGAGCAGUGACUUGAGCUGGGUAAAGAGGAGUCUAGACAUCUGCUCCUGACCAUCUUGAAAUUGAGAAAGCAGAGAGAGAGAGAGGACACAGAGAAAACAGCCUGUUCCUAAUCCAGUCAAGAAGUGCUGCAGCAGCAGAGAGAAAACUUAAAGCUGGACUGAUCUGAUUUACAGCUUGUGGAAGUUUAAGCCUGAAAGCCUUCUUUCUCUGAAGUCACAUACAGAUAAAAUACCUUGAUCUCAGUUUUAUUGACAUCUGAGAGUUUCAGCCUACAUCAAGCAACAAUGUGGAGAAGGACUUAUGGGUCCCACCUAUUCAAUGUGCACCAACUGAAUGUAGCCAAUGGACACUAGGGGGAAGUUUAAGUAAGGCCGCUGCUACAGCAGAGUGUCCAGUGACGUCACACGCUGAUCCCGCGAGGCUGAGACGCUGUAGUGCAUUGGAGAACCAGCAAACAGCUUUCUAUCAGACCGGGCACGAGCGUGGACUGAUCGACAUCAGAUUACCGAUCCGUGUAUCCUGUGGACUAUGACCGGUGUUUUUUUUUUUUUUUGUUUAAUGUUAAUAAAAUGGUUACCAAGGG
Long non-coding RNA from Hyla sarda, 615 nucleotides. RefSeq lists it as uncharacterized. Lineage: Eukaryota; Metazoa; Chordata; Amphibia; Anura; Hylidae. The transcript has 3 exons. The record is from RefSeq and is a predicted model, not a curated record.